This 1040-nucleotide long non-coding RNA is filed under the name Calidris pugnax (ruff). RNAcentral describes it as "lncRNA (ENSCPUG00000000705.1)". Lineage: Eukaryota; Metazoa; Chordata; Aves; Charadriiformes; Scolopacidae. The record is from RNAcentral.
UGGGGACCAAGUCUGGUCGCGGUUUGAGUCCUGACUCCAGAGCAGCUGGUGCAGCCUGGUGGGCAGCACACAACUCAGCUGCCCCAAACACCCCUGCUGAGCUGAAACUUCCUCCAGCGUGGGCCAAGGGCGCCCUUCCACCUCCUUGAAUUCCUGCAGUCUGGUAAAAUUACAGCUCCUGCUGGCUGUUGCUUUGACCUUGUUUGACAAGACAAAGGGAUCAGAAGGAGCUGUGUGUUUCCUCUGCACACUUCGGCCUUUUAUGAACUUCUACUUCAACGCUACAACCUUGUAUUGGACGUUGGUCCUCUAUCUGUCACCACAGACCACAUCUUCACAUCCUAAGCCUCCGGCCCUGAACUGAGGAGAAGCCAGAGAGAUGCCUCCUGAUCCAUAGGCACUUCUGCACUAGAAUCUAAAGAUGCUUCUUGGGUCCACCACCACCAGUCCCAUAACUCUCCGCCUUCCUCCUUCUGCUGUUGCUGUUUGACCUGGUGCCUUUUCCUCUGCUCUUUACACUGGCUGGGAGCAGAUCCAUCAAGGUCAGAGCCUCCGGUCUGAGCAGGGCAUGGCAGCCCCCAGCGGUAUGUGGCUCCUCUGAAACCCUGCCACUUUGCACUUAAAUUGCAGCUCAGCCCUGCUCAGGAGGAGGAACCAGAGGGGCUGAGCCACAGCAGAGUCAAAUUCCAGAAAGACGUUCCCAGAGCAUCUUCCAAAGCCACUUCCAACAGGCCAUUGACACCACUAACUGCAAAGUGUGAGGUCACCUGGGCCAAGUGAGCUCUGCUCAAAAAGAACCCAAUGCAGAGAGCAUCCAAGGCAGGCACUACCUGUGCAGGGGCCACUUCAGGCCAGUUGGCCCCCGGGGGUGGUAACAGGGUCCAUUUUCCCCACUCUGUCGCUGAAGCUGCUGCACUGUUCUAGUCACCCACUACAACUCAUUCAAGCUUGUGUCAACUUCCACUCCCCCAGGCUCUCUGAAAAAGCCAGCGGUGCCUGCAGUUAAUAAAAACAGUUCAUUUAGUUAUAAUGAGCCCUAA